ACCCGCUGAACUUAAGCAUAUCAAUAAGCAGGAGGAAAAGAAACCAACAGGGAUUGCCCUAGUAACGGCGAGUGAAGCGGCAACAGCUCAAAUUUGAAAUCUGGCUCCUUCAGGAGCUGAGUUGUAAUUAGCAGAGGAAGCUUUAGGCGCGGCUCCAUCUGAGUCCCCUGGAACGGGGCGCCAUAGAGGGUGAGAGCCCCGUAUAGAUGGACGCCUAGCCUGUGUAAAGCUCCUUCGACGAGUCGAGUAGUCGGGGUGUGCUGCUCAAAAUGGGAGGUAAAUUUCUUCUAAAGCUAAAUAUUGCGCCAGAGGCCGAUAGCGCACAAGUAGAGUGAUCGAAAGAUGAAAAGCACUUUGAAAAGAGGGUUAAAUAGCACGUGAAAUUGUUGAAAGGGAAGCGCUUGUGACCAGACUUGCGCCGGGCGGAUCAUCCGGUGUUCUCACCGGUGCACUCCGCCCGGCUCAGGCCAGCAUCGGUUCUCGCGGGGGGAUAAAGUCCCUGGGAACGUAGCUCCUCCGGGAGUGUUAUAGCCCGGGGCGUAAUGCCCUCGCGGGGACCGAGGUCCGCGCAUCUGCAAGGAUGCUGGCGUAAUGGUCAUCAGCGACCCGUCUUGAAACACGG
Molecule: ribosomal RNA, 622 nt
Filed under: uncultured fungus
Lineage: Eukaryota; Fungi
Description: LSU rRNA
Rfam family: Eukaryotic large subunit ribosomal RNA
Source: RNAcentral